Molecule: ribosomal RNA, 408 nt
Filed under: uncultured bacterium
Lineage: Bacteria
Description: partial 16S ribosomal RNA
Rfam family: Bacterial small subunit ribosomal RNA
Source: RNAcentral
GACGAACGCUGGCGGCGUGCUUAACACAUGCCAGUCGAACGGAGUGGCGAAAGGGUGAGUAACACGUGGGUGAUCCGCCUUGCAUUUCGGGCUAAGCUUGGGAAACUGGGUCUAAUACCGGAUAGUGCAAGAUGAGCUCGCGGCCUAUCAGCUUGUUGGUUGGGUAAUGGCCUACCAAGGCGUCGAUGGGUAGCCGGCCUGGGAGGGUGUACGGCCAAAUUGGGACUGGGGAACAGGCCAGAGUCCUACUGGAGGCAGCAGUGGAUGAUAUUGCACGAUGGGCGGAAGCCGGAAGCAGCGACGCGGGGUGGGGGAGGAAGGGCCUCUGUGUGUAAACGCCAUACAGCUUGGACACGGUACCUGUAUAGGAAGCACCGACUAACUACGUGCCAGCAGCCGCGGUAAUUC